This 2035-nucleotide ribosomal RNA is filed under the name human gut metagenome. Its description in RNAcentral is "bacterial LSU rRNA". It matches the Rfam family "Bacterial large subunit ribosomal RNA", at positions 1 to 2072 of the family's 2925-position model. The record is from RNAcentral.
UCAAGCAGAAAGGGCACAGGGCGGAUGCCUUGGCACUAAGGGCCGAAGAAAGACGUGAUAAGCUGCGAUAAGCUUCGGGGAGGAGCAAAUAUCCAUUGAUCCGGAGAUCUCUGAAUGGGGAAACCCACAUGAGCAAACCUCAUGUAUCCAUACGCCAAUCCAUAACGUAUGGAGGGGAACCCGGGGAACUGAAACAUCUAAGUACCCGGAGGAAAAGAAAGAAAACUCGAUUCCGUAAGUAGCGGCGAGCGAACGCGGAAGAGCCUAAACCGGUGUGCGUGCACACCGGGGUUACGGACUGCAUUUAAGAUUCUGCAAUGUUAGUGGAACGGUUUUGGGAAAGCCGGCCGGAGAGGGUGAAAGCCCCGUAGACGAAAACAGAGCAGACUGAGCAGGAUCCAGAGUACCGCGGGACACGAGAAACCCUGCGGGAAGUGAGGGGGACCACCCCCUAAGGCUAAAUACCACUUAGUGACCGAUAGCGCAUAGUACUGUGAAGGAAAGGUGAAAAGGACCCCGGGAGGGGAGUGAAAGAGAACCUGAAACCCUGUGUCUACAAGCUGUGGGAGUGCUUUAUAUGCACGACCGCGUACUUUUUGUAGAACGGUCCGGCGAGUUGCGCACACUGGCAAGGUUAAGGACUGAAGGUCCGGAGCCGUAGGGAAACCAAGUCUUAAGAGGGCCAGAGUCAGUGUGGGCAGACCCGAAACCGGGUGAUCUAUCCAUGUCCAGGUUGAAGCUGCCGUAAGAGGCAGUGGAGGACCGAACCCACAUCCGUUGAAAAGGGUGGGGAUGAGGUGUGGAUAGGGGAGAAAUUCCAAUCGAACCCGGAGAUAGCUGGUUCUCCUCGAAAUAGCUUUAGGGCUAGCCUUGGUAGAGAUUUGCGGAGGUAGAGCACUGAAUUUCCUAGGGGGCGUCAAAGCCUACCGAAGAAUAUCAAACUCCGAAUGCCGCGUAAUUGCUUACCGGGAGUCAGACUGCACGAGAUAAGUUGGGCAGUCAAAAGGGAAAGAGCCCAGACCUUCAGUUAAGGUCCCAAAGUGUACGUUAAGUGGAAAAGGAUGUGGGAUUUCGAAGACAACCAGGAUGUUGGCUCAGAAGCAGCCAUUCAUUCAAAGAGUGCGUAAUAGCUCACUGGUCGAGAGGUCCUGCGCCGAAAAUGUCCGGGGCUGAAACGUACCACCGAAACUAAGGAAUCCAGCAAUGGAUUGGUAGAGGAGCAUUGCAUGCGGGAAGAAGCAGUACCGUAAGGAGCUGUGGACUGCAUGGAAGAGAGAAUGCCGGAAUGAGUAGCGAGAUAGAGGUGAGAAUCCUCUAGGCCGAAUAUCCAAGGUUUCCAGGGUAAAGCUGAUCUGCCCUGGGUAAGUCGGGGCCUAAGGUGAGGGCGAGAGCCGUAGCCGAUGGACAACAGGUGGAGAUUCCUGUACUAUGAUAUGACAGAACUGUGGGGACACGUGCAGAGAGCGGAAGCCGGGAAUGGGAUCCCGGUGCAAGCGAGGUACCAGAUGCGUUGGAAAAACCGCGCAUCAAUGGGAAGACGUGAUGCGGAGUGAAGUAUAGUAAUGAAGUCCGUGAGCUGUGCGUCAAGAAAAGCCGCUAUUGUUCAUACCAUACCCGUACCGUAAACCGACACAGGUGGAUGAGGAGAGAAUCCUAAGGCCGGCGGAAGAAGCAUUGUCAAGGAACUCGGCAAAAUGACCCCGUAACUUCGGGAGAAGGGGUGCCACUGAGAAGUGGCCGCAGAGAAUAGGCUCAAGCAACUGUUUAGCAAAAACACAGGUCUAUGCGAAACCGUAAGGUGAGGUAUAUGGGCUGACGCCUGCCCGGUGCUGGAAGGUUAAGAGGAGAGGUUAGCGGAAACGCGAAGCUUUGAAUUUAAGCCCCAGUAAACGGCGGCCGUAACUAUAACGGUCCUAAGGUAGCGAAAUUCCUUGUCGGGUAAGUUCCGACCCGCACGAAAGGCGUAAUGAUUUGAGCGCUGUCUCGACAAUGCAUCCGGUGAAAUUGAAGUACCAGUGAAGAUGCUGGUUACCUG